RNAcentral lists this ribosomal RNA (301 nucleotides) under uncultured bacterium. RNAcentral describes it as "partial 16S ribosomal RNA". It matches the Rfam family "Bacterial small subunit ribosomal RNA", at positions 509 to 809 of the family's 1533-position model. The record is from RNAcentral.
CAGUCGCCACGGGAAUACGUAGGGCGCGAGCGUUGUCCGGAAUCAUUGGGCGUAAAGAGCUCGUAGGCGGUUUGUCGCGUCUGCCGUGAAAGUCCGGGGCUCAACCCCGGAUCUGCGGUGGGUACGGGCAGACUAGAGUGAUGUAGGGGAGACUGGAAUUCCUGGUGUAGCGGUGAAAUGCGCAGAUAUCAGGAGGAACACCGAUGGCGAAGGCAGCCCCCUGGGCCAACACUGACGCUGAGGCGCGAAAGCGUGGGGAGCAAACAGGAUUAGAUACCCCAGUAGUCCCUGUCUCUUAUAA